This 468-nucleotide ribosomal RNA is filed under the name uncultured bacterium. RNAcentral's name for it is "partial 16S ribosomal RNA". It matches the Rfam family "Bacterial small subunit ribosomal RNA", at positions 28 to 507 of the family's 1533-position model. The record is from RNAcentral.
GACGAACGCUGGCGGCGUGCUUAACACAUGCAAGUCGAACGGAAAGGCCCUGCUUUUGUGGGGUGCUCGAGUGGCGAACGGGUGAGUAACACGUGAGUAACCUGCCCUUGACUUUGGGAUAACUUCAGGAAACUGGGGCUAAUACCGGAUAGGAGCUCCCGCUGCAUGGAGGGGGUUGGAAAGUUUCGGCGGUUGGGGAUGGACUCGCGGCUUAUUAGCUUGUUGGUUGGGUAGUGGCUUACCAAGGCUUUGACGGGUAGGUGGCCUGAGAGGGUGACCGGCCACAAUGGGACUGAGGUACGGCCCAGACUGCUACGGGGGGCAGCAGUGGGGAAUAUUGCACAAUGGGCGGAAGCCUGAUGCAGCAACGCCGCGUGCGGGAUGACGGCCUUCGGGUUGUAAACCGCUUUCGCCUGUGACGAAGCGUGAGUGACGGUAAUGGGUAAAGAAGCACCGGCUAACUACGUG